UGGGGAAUAUUGCACAAUGGGCGCAAGCCUGAUGCAGCGACGCCGCGUGGGGGAUGACGGCCUUCGGGUUGUAAAUCCUCUUUCAGCAGGGACGAAGCGAAAGUGACGGUACCUGCAGAAGAAGCACCGGCCAACUACGUGCCAGCAGCCGCGGUAAUACGUAGGGUGCGAGCGUUGUCCGGAAUUACUGGGCGUAAAGAGCUCGUAGGUGGUUUGUCGCGUUGUUCGUGAAAACCGGGGGCUUAACCCUCGGCGUGCGGGCGAUACGGGCAGACUAGAGUACUGCAGGGGAGACUGGAAUUCCUGGUGUAGCGGUGGAAUGCGCAGAUAUCAGGAGGAACACCGGUGGCGAAGGCGGGUCUCUGGGCAGUAACUGACGCUGAGGAGCGAAAGCGUGGGGAGCGAACAGGAUUAGAU
This 417-nucleotide ribosomal RNA is filed under the name uncultured bacterium. RNAcentral describes it as "partial 16S ribosomal RNA". It matches the Rfam family "Bacterial small subunit ribosomal RNA", at positions 355 to 783 of the family's 1533-position model. The record is from RNAcentral.